GACGAACGCUGGCGGCGUGCUUAACACAUGCAAGUCGAACGCUGAAGCUCAGCUUGCUGGGUGGAUGAGUGGCGAACGGGUGAGUAACACGUGAGUAACCUGCCCUCUUCUUUGGGAUAACGCCCGGAAACGGGUGCUAAUACUGGAUAUUCACUGAUUCUCGCAUGGGGGUUGGUGGAAAGGUUUUUUCUGGUGGGGGAUGGGCUCGCGGCCUAUCAGCUUGUUGGUGGGGUGAUGGCCUACCAAGGCUUUGACGGGUAGCCGGCCUGAGAGGGUGACCGGUCACAUUGGGACUGGGAUACGGCCCAGACUCCUACGGGAGGCAGCAGUGGGGGAUAUUGCACAAUGGGCGAAAGCCUGAUGCAGCGGCGCCGCGUGAGGGAUGGAGGCCUUCGGGUUGUAAACCUCUUUCGCUCAUGGUCAAGCCGCAGCUUUGGGUUGUGGUGAGGGUAGUGGGUAAAGAAGCGCCGGCUAACUACGUG
RNAcentral lists this ribosomal RNA (482 nucleotides) under uncultured bacterium. Its description in RNAcentral is "partial 16S ribosomal RNA". It matches the Rfam family "Bacterial small subunit ribosomal RNA", at positions 28 to 507 of the family's 1533-position model. The record is from RNAcentral.